GGAGCUGUGGCUCAUUGGUAGACCUUCUGCUUCACACACAAAAGGUCCCAGGAUCAAUCCCUAGCAUUUCCA
Molecule: transfer RNA, 72 nt
Filed under: Sphaerodactylus townsendi
Lineage: Eukaryota; Metazoa; Chordata; Lepidosauria; Squamata; Sphaerodactylidae
Description: tRNA-Val
Rfam family: tRNA
About the family: Transfer RNA (tRNA) molecules are approximately 80 nucleotides in length. Their secondary structure includes four short double-helical elements and three loops (D, anti-codon, and T loops). Further hydrogen bonds mediate the characteristic L-shaped molecular structure. tRNAs have two regions of fundamental functional importance: the anti-codon, which is responsible for specific mRNA codon recognition, and the 3' end, to which the tRNAs corresponding amino acid is attached (by aminoacyl-tRNA synthetases). tRNAs cope with the degeneracy of the genetic code in two manners: having more than one tRNA (with a specific anti-codon) for a particular amino acid; and 'wobble' base-pairing, i.e. permitting non-standard base-pairing at the 3rd anti-codon position.
Source: RNAcentral